Molecule: long non-coding RNA, 5106 nt
Filed under: Homo sapiens (human)
Lineage: Eukaryota; Metazoa; Chordata; Mammalia; Primates; Hominidae
Description: non-protein coding DLX6-AS1:23
Source: RNAcentral
UUCAGACAGAGUCUUGCUCUAUUGCCCAGGCUGCAACUGGUGUGAUCUCGGCUCACUACAACCUCUGCCUCCUGGGUUCAAGCGAUUCUCCUGCCUCAAGCUCCCAAGUAGCUGGGAUUACAAGCAUGCACCACCAUGCCUGGCUAAUUUUUGUAUUUUUAGUGGAGACGGGGUUUCGCCACAUUGGCCAGGGUGGUCUUGAACUCCUGACCUCAAGUGAUCCACCUGCCUUGGCCUCCCAAAGUGCUGGGAUUAUAAGCAUGAGCCACUGCACCCAGCCUUAUACUGAACUUUCAAUGGGUUCAAUUCCACUAGGAGCAUAAAGGCCACUGCAUAUGAGUUGUGGAAAGAAGAGAUUAGAAGAAGGAAGAACUUGAGAUGAGUUCCUCCCUUCAACAUUCUGUCUCCUCCUACCUAGCAUCUUCUUUCUUUUAGUCUUUCUAGAAUGUCCAUCUGUUUUUGGCCAUUGCGGAGAGAGAAGCUGAGCUUUAAAGGAGUAGGAGCUUCAAAGGCGUAGGAGCUUCAAAAUUCUUGUUUCUUCAUGUUUGAUCACCCUUCUAAACCUGUCUUCUGUUCCUUCUGCUAUUCUUUUUUCUUAGAGCAUAGGAAAGGGGAGCUUUUAAAUUAAUACUUAAAGCAUGGAAAAAAAGAACUUGAGAAGAAAGUAAAACAAGGGAGAUGAGGCUAGUAAAGUAAGGAAAAUGAAGAGGAAGAGGAGGAAGGGUUAGCUUCUAAAUUCCAAGUCAAAUUGAUAUGGAACAGGCAAGCCGCUUGUCUUACUUAAACUUCAGAAAAGGAUCUGCUGAAACUUGAUAGAAAUGGAAAGGGAAAUCCUUGGGGUGGGGAACCUCCAAACAUUAGUAAUGAUAUUGAACAACUCAAAGUAUUGAGGAAAUCUGCAGGCUACAUGCCUGAAGAUUACCCAUGCAGAUAGACCAAAAGGAUUAGAAUUAUCUGUUGAUAUUAGUAAUAUUUAUUGACAUCUAGCUAGUAUUGGUAAUUUUAAGUUUUAGAUUAAUUUCUUUGGUAAUAGCUAUGAUAUAUUUUAUAGACAAGAAUUAUAUCUAUAGGCUUGCUAUCAUAGGCUCUUUUAAUCAGCAUUAAUUUAGUCUACUGAUUUUUAGCACAUUUGAAUCAUUCACUUAUGCUAGGUAACUCAUUGCAAAAUAAAAAGAUGAUUCCUGUAUGUAUGGCAGCUAUACAUUAAGGAGGAGUCUACCAGAAUAUGAAAAAGUCAGCUGACCUAAAUAUUGCUGAGACAAAGGAAAACCCACUCCCUUGGAGGAGCAUGACCUUUUCCUGUAAUUCUUCCCACUGCUGUUGUUGAGCUCCUUGGAUCCUGGCUCCUGGACACCAUCAUCAAGAAGACUUUAUGGAUGGGCUGUCCACCCACUGAGAGAAGAGGAGCAUCAGCUACAGUUUCUCUCUAGAUUGCCUUCUUCAUUUUGAGUAAUGACUGUCAGCAGGGUCAGAUUAAACACAAAACAACUGGACAAUUGCUUGGAGGACUAAACUAUAAGGGCACUAACAUGUCAAUAGUAGGCUAACACAUCCAUGGAAAAUAUAUUUACCAGCUCUUCUCUCAGGGAGGAUUCUGUGUGGGGUUGGAAGUAAUGAUUUGUUAAAUUCCUUAGGGGUAGAAAGUAGGGCAUAAUCAGAAUAUAGAGGAAUAUGCUGUUUGACUUCAGGGUUUCUGUUUUUCUUACUAGGAUAUAUAAAACAGGGACUCUAGCUAGAUUGUUUAUGACCACAGAGGGUAGGCUGAGUGCUCCCAUGAUCUUCCUGCUUGGUUCUUGCCCAUACAGAGGUCAGCCUUUCCUCUAAUAAAGAUUGAACAAGUAGUGGUCUGAGGGAGACACCAAUUCAUUACCCUACAUGUCUCUUCUCUGCACUCCAGGGCUUUGAUAAUAAAGACACUGGCAGACUAUCUAUCUUCCAUUUCUAUAAUGUGAGCCCUUAGGGAGUCUUCGUUCACUUGGGGGUGAGGGUCAUUGCUCACAGAGUAGUUCAAGUCAAAUGGAACUUGAACUCUUUGCCUAUGGGCCUGGUGGUCAGACUCUGUGUUGAGUUCAUUAGAUUAUUGGAGACACAAGGUAGAGCUGGAUGCUUCAAAAAUAUUUGGCUAAAGGAUGACAUUGCUGGUUAUUUGUAGAUAAAGCCAUGAUGGAACCUGCUUGGAAUCAUGAAAUAUGGAACUGGUGGUCAUGUUUAAAAAUACAACUAAUAGUUAAGUACCUACUGGACACUGUAGAGACUUAGGGGCUAGACAGACAUGGUUCCUGCCCCCUUGGAGCUUACACUGUAGCUUCCCCUUAGGUAUGAAGAACAGUGGCUACAACUAACAAAUGGCCACAAAGAUAUAAUUGAGCCAGUGUUCCAAUUAUUAGGGUAAUUCCUAUUUCCUUAAUCAUUCCUAUUGACCAUGUUCUAUAAGCCUGCAUUCUAUAAAUGGCGUAUGACCAUGGGCUGUUUCCCCCCAGCAAGUUGUACAAAGUUCUGUGGUACCAGGGAAAGGGCUUAAGGUUAGCAGGGCCUCUGCGGAAGGACAUAUGAAGUGACUUGGGUUAGGAAACAGGAAGGGAUAGGAUUCAAGAACAGCUAUUGCUUCUGUUCUAUAUAGGAAACUGCAGCGUGAAAAAUGCUGGGCUGGGAAUUUUGAGACCUGGGUUUUAGUUUGUGUUCUAAUACUAACAAGCUAUGUGACUGUGGGUAAGUCAUUUCACAUUCCAUUUGGAUGCCUCUUGAGUGACUCCAGGCCUCUCCAGCUCUAAAACAUUAAGAUCAGGCCCUACGCUACAGCUGGCCAGUGUGUAAUUCUUCUGUUUCUAUGCUGUUAGGUCAAAUAGAUCUUCAAUAGUUACUUGAUUGUUAUUACUUUUUUCUGAAGUGGGUGUUUUAUCAAUGUUUUAGGAUACAGUGAGUCUGCUUCUCCCCUUUGGAGUUAGGAAGGUUGUAGGAAUAUACACUGUAGAGCAUAUGGGAGCUUUAUCCCCUCCUUUUUUCCCCGCUACCUUUCUCCCUCUCCUUCCCUUCAUCACAUUUCUAUUGAGCAUAUGCCAUUGCCGUGUACCAGGUGUGUGCUAGGUUUGGAGAUACAAGGUAAACCUGAGACUUUCCCAGUCUCCAGGAGACAAAACCCUAAUUUCUUUCAUCUGCUGUCUUUCUCUUUGGAAAGAAUCAACGAUAUCCCAGGGGAAUGUGCCCAUGUCCCAGGGUAACCAACUACAGACAGAUGCCCCAUUCUACUCAAGCAACUUUUAGAGUGCCUUGAGAUACACAUCAGAUAAUUAUGCAGGGCCAGGCAUGGUGCUGCACACUUGUAAUCACAGCACUUUGGGAGGCCGAGGCAGCAGAUUGCUUGAGCCCAGGAAUUCAAGUGUAGCCUAGGGAACAUGGCAAAACCCCAGCUCUACAAAAAAAUACACAAAUUAGCUGCGUGUGGUGGCCUAUGACAGGAGGCUGAGAUGGGAGGAUUGCUUGAGCCUGUGAGGUCGAGGCUGCAGUGAGCCGAGAUCAUGCCAUUACUCCAGCCUGGGUGACAUAGGGAGACCCUGUCUUGAAAAAAAAAAAAAAAAGAUAAUUAUUCAGCCCUAGAGUCAUUGUGAAAAGAUCUAUCUUCAGAUAUAAGGAAGAAACAAUCUUUUAUUUCUUAGGAUAAAUCUGUAGAAGGACCUCCAGACAGUGAAGGCCACUGACUACUUUAUACUCUGUAAGCCAUCCCUCCCUGGUAGGAAGGACUAUUUCCAAUCUUACAGAGUACCUCUCAGCAAAUAGACGUUUUCACAUAUACUGUGAUUCAUACAUCCCUAUGGCUGGUGACCUCUUUAAAAAGGAAAGGAAAAAGCCUAAUCAAACAAAAAGAUGCUGCUAGUAAUUCUUACCCUAUUGUGAAUCCUAUAUAAGCAAAUUUGUAUCUUUGUUUUUUCCUACAUUAGCAGAUCUAUUUGAUGUAUAUCUCUGAGUGCAGAAAAUAUUUUAUGGAAAAAUCAAUAUAUGGAAUUUCAAAUUCAGAAUUGCUGAUACACACUAUUUGGUUUCACAAUUUUAUCCUAGGAAAUAGUAUUAGAGAUUUCAAUUUCUGGCUUAAAUGGUAGAAUUAAUUACUCUUAACUCUUAAUUUUACUUCUGAGUUGAGGUCAAGGAACAGGCAGACACCUGCAGUUAACGUCUAUACCUCUCCAUGGCCAAGAGUUUUAAUUUUCUCGUCUUCAAUUUUGUAGAUGUUCAUCAUUACUAAAUGGAUUGAUUAGUAUUUUAUCUCCUCUCCUUGUCCUUACUUUCCCUCUGGUAAAUAUGUUAUAAACAGUGUAAGGCUCCUAAGAUAGAGUAGCUGGUAGGACUUAGAAGAGAAACAAAGGGCACUGAUAACUCACAUAAAUGGAAAAUUGGCUCUGGAAUAACUGACAACAUAUUCAAGUAUUUUAGUGCAGUGUCACUCUCAUUAAGAAGAAGAGAAUCAGUAAAUCUAUGUGACUCUAAACAUUCUAAUGAAAAAAGGAAUAUUCUGCCAAUUAUCUCACAUUUCUAAAUAUCUGGAUAUUGGCCAUUGUAAAGACAAAACAUACAGAUGAUGGACUUGUCUUUCCACCUCUCAUUUGCAUGGUUUGGAGCAUUGUACCUCCAGCCAUAGACUCUAAGGCAAUUUAUAUUUGCUUCCUCUUCCCUCUUGAGAGAAAACGAAAAUCUUAUUUUUCCAAGCAAUUAAAACUCUUCUGCUUCAGCUAGGAUGAAAGAAUUAGGAGUUCUGUCUCCUUGUAUCUAAUUGCAUGUUUCAUCUUUCUUGUUUUAAUGAUUGACAGAAAACUAAUAAACUGAGACAUCUUUGAAUCCAGGUUGAAUGUACUCUCUUGGUGGCCCCAUUGCUAAUUUGUUUGACUAUUUUGCAGGAUUUCUUACUCUGUAAUGGAAAGGUUUAUUAAAUAUGAGGGGUGCAAAGCUUUCUGAAUACUAAUGAACUUAUUUGCCAAAAUUUAAAUGUUCUUCUUGUCAGUGAAUGUCUGUCUCUCUUAACAGGAUCCAAAUUGAAUAAUGAAGAAAAUUAGACUCUAUUGUACCCUCAGGAGAAAUCGUGGUGAAUCGUAAUAGAAUACAGAGGGGGAAAGGGGU